GCAUGCAGUGUUGCUUAAAUCACCUGAGGGAGUCCAACUCAAACUGAAGUUAAAAGAUGAAUUAUUAAAAUACAAGAAUGAAUUUAUUAGGUUUAAGCGAGAAAAAUUUGAGAGAGUGCAAUUGGACUACCUACAACACAGAGUAUACAAGUGGCUCUCAGGAGAUAUUCAGCGCAGACCCCGGAGACCUCGGAAAAGAAUCCAACGUCCAAAAAUCACCACUAUUGAUGUCACUUCAGGUGAAUCGGCUUCUGAAAAUGAUACACAGCAUGAAACUCCACCUUUUUUUAGAGAACACAGGCACAGUUACCAGAAGUCGAGGAGUGGAUCUAGGAGGAGUAGAACAAGAUGUGGGCGCAAGGGCAAAAACUGGACCCCGGGGCAAACCACCCCACAAGAAGUAGUCCCCAUCUUCAACCUUUCACAUAGGCAGCUGUCUCCAGAUGAAAUUGAAAUCUUAAGCCGUGGCUUAUCCUUUGUGCCAAGAUCCCAUCCUAAUUAGUUUACAUGGAAUGUCGAAUUAUUCAAGUUUGGACGCAGUAUGCGAUUAAAAGAGUACUUUGACCACUUGACUUCUAAUAAGACAUCUUCUGAUACUAAAAUUAUUGAUCAAUUCAAACGUAAAUCCACAUUUGACCCUCAAUCAAAUAAAGCGUCCAUUAAGACCUAUCUAGCAACUUCCAACAAGAUUGCUCCAAAAAAUUUUUCACAGAAGAAUAAAUCACAAAAUAUCACUAAACAGCAAAGAAAGCUUAUCAAACAGCUGGCUGAUGACCCUACCAUAGUCAUCAGAUUGGCAGACAAAGGUGGUGGAAUUGUGAUUAUGAAUUGCCAAUUUUAUGCUGAGGAAUUGCAGGCACAGCUUUCAGAUACAAACACGUAUCAAUUAUUAACAGGCGACCCUACAGAUCAUAUUCAGUCCAAAAUUGCUGAUACUCUAUCUAUGGCACUCACAGCAGGCUAUAUUGAUGUUCAACUAUACCAUUAUAUACACAAACCCCAUCCACGAACGCCGAUCAUCUACAGUAUUCCUAAGAUACAUAAAAAUGUACAGCAACCACCAGGACAUCCGAUUGUAUCUGCAGUAGACUGCAUCUUAGAACCAAUUACAAAAUAGUUAGACUCCAUCUUCAAAGGACCAGUUGAGGAACUACACACAUGCAUUAAAGAUACACAGACAUUGUUAGUUAAAUUGAACACGCUAUGCACCCAAGGACAGGAUCUCUUAAUGAUACCUAUGGAUGUGGCAAGUUUAUACACCAUCAUCCCUCAUGAAGAUGGCGUUGAGGCCAUGCGCACUGUACUCACACAGACUAAGAAUUAUCAAGGCCCUGCUAUA
Molecule: non-coding RNA, 1339 nt
Organism: Pelobates cultripes (western spadefoot toad)
Lineage: Eukaryota; Metazoa; Chordata; Amphibia; Anura; Pelobatidae
Source: the annotation of a GenBank genome assembly